CCUACGGGCGGCAGCAGUGAGGAAUAUUGGUCAAUGGCCGGGAGGCUGAACCAGCCAAGUCGCGUGAGGGAAGACGGCCCUACGGGUUGUACACCUCUUUUGUCAGGGAGCAAGGUGCAGGUCGGGUCCUGCUGUGUGAGUACCUGAAGAAAAAGCAUCGGCUAACUCCGUGCCAGCAGCCGCGGUAAUACGGAGGAUGCGAGCGUUAUCCGGAUUUAUUGGGUUUAAAGGGUGCGAAGGCGGAGGCAUUAGUCAGCGGUAAAAGCGCGGGGCUCAACCCCGCCCCGUCGUUGAAACUGUGUCCCGUGAGUGCGCGCAGGGUAGGCGGAAUGCGUGGUGUAGCGGUGAAAUGCAUAGAUAUCACGCAGAACUCCGAUCGCGAAGGCAGCCUACGGGCGCGCAACUGACGCUCAUGCACGAAGGCGUGGGUAUCGAAUAGGAUUAGAUAUCCUGGUAGUC
Molecule: ribosomal RNA, 459 nt
Filed under: uncultured bacterium
Lineage: Bacteria
Description: partial 16S ribosomal RNA
Rfam family: Bacterial small subunit ribosomal RNA
Source: RNAcentral